RNAcentral lists this ribosomal RNA (674 nucleotides) under uncultured Pseudotomentella. RNAcentral describes it as "eukaryotic LSU rRNA". The stretch from base 236 to 389 matches the Rfam family "5.8S ribosomal RNA". The record is from RNAcentral. Lineage: Eukaryota; Fungi; Basidiomycota; Agaricomycetes; Thelephorales; Thelephoraceae.
UGCGGAAGGAUCAUUAAUGAAAUGAAUGUCAAAAAGGGGUUGUAGCUGGCCUCUUGGGGCAUGUGCACACCUUGAUUUGGUAUCCAGUUUUCACACCUGUGCACUUAUAUGUAGCUUGGGAUGAUUACGAUAUUGRAARCSGAUAUUGAAAGCCUUAGCUAUGAAUUUUUACACACAUGUAUAUGAAGUUAUAGAAUGGAUAAAGUUAUAGCAUGUAACAGUGCUUGAUAUAUACAACUUUCAGCAACGGAUCUCUUGGCUCUCGCAUCGAUGAAGAACGCAGCGAAAUGCGAUAAGUAAUGUGAAUUGCAGAAUUCAGUGAAUCAUCGAAUCUUUGAACGCACCUUGCGCUCCUUGGUAUUCCUUGGAGCAUGCCUGUUUGAGUGUCAUGAAACAAUCGACUGCUUUUAUUAUUUUAUAUAGUAGAAGUGAAGUUGGAGUUGGAGGAUAAUUGGUGGCGCGACUUAGGUUGCUUGUCAGCUCCUCUUGAAUUGAUAGCUUUUCUGAUAGAUCAUAGCUGGGAAAGGCUAAUGUGAUAAAUAUCUAUGUUAGUUAUAGAAAGCUGUGAGUAGAGUGGCUUCAAAUUUUGGAGUGACUCCUAUAGAAAGGUGUGUCUCGGAAAAAAAUUGAGAGGGUUAUUUCUGAGAUACAAGAGAUAUAUUAUGAUACAUCUG